Molecule: ribosomal RNA, 498 nt
Filed under: uncultured bacterium
Lineage: Bacteria
Description: bacterial SSU rRNA
Rfam family: Bacterial small subunit ribosomal RNA
Source: RNAcentral
GACGAACGCUGGCGGCGUGGAUUAGGCAUGCAAGUCGAACGGUAUCAUCCUUUCGGGGGUGAGAGAGUGGCGAACUGGUGAGUAACACGUAGGUUAUCUACCCUCAAGACGGGGACAACCCAGGGAAACUUGGGCUAAUACCGGAUGUGAGCAACUUUUAGUUGUUUGAAAGGUGGCGUAAGCUGUCGCUUGGGGAUGAGCCUGCGUCCUAUUAGUUAGUUGGUGAGGUAACGGCUCACCUAGGCAAUGAUAGGUAGGCGGCCUUAACGGGUGGUCGCCCACACUGGGAUUGAGAUACGGCCCAGACUCCUACGGGAGGCAGCAGUCGAGAAUAGUCUACAAUGGUCGGAAGACUGAUAGUGCGACGCCGCGUGAACGAUGAAUCCCUUCGGGGUUAAAGUUCUUUUAUAUGUGAGCAGUGCUUCUUAUAUUAACAGUAUGGGGAAGAGAUAUUAGCAUAUGAAUAAGCAACGGCUAACUCCGUGCCAGCAGCCGGGU